UUCAUCAAAAGCAGGCCUUCUGCAUACACACGCAAGACAAAUAGGACUGAGGGGUGAUGACGGAUACUGUAGGCCCGCGGUGAUUGGGAUGACCCUCCACUCACAUAGUUGAUCAAAGGCAAGUAAAACAAUCAGCCAGCCAUCAGCAACGAUGUAAUAUUAAACUCCCCAAACACCUCAUUUAAUUAAGUCAUUAUGAUCGAAAUCUCCUUACCAGAUCUUUUAAGUUAUACACUCAUAGACCUUGCCCUAAGAUAGCAGAAAAGAACUUCCGGAGGGAAAGCUGCUGUUAAAAAUUAUGAAUAAAAUAACAUCUCUUCCCUCUACCCCACAAAUCAAUCGCUCUCUAGAAGGAUACACUUCUAUCUGAUUUCCCCAGGAAGAGCUCAGAAAGCUGGGUGCAUCAUGCCUAGCAUCCUGUCCCUGAUUAGCCUGCUGCAGACAGCAAUCGAGGCAGAACACAGCUGGCAUAUAUGAUGUCAGCUUCUUUUGGGGCCGAUUGCUAUGAAGUCACAAACCCUACUUUUGUGAACCUGUUGCUGGCCAAACAAGCCUGAUCCAAAGCACACUGAAGAAAACGUUUGGCCGCUUGCAGGUGCAGUCCCAGCACCGGAGGGGAGGAGAAGUGAAGGGGAACUCGCUUACAGUGGGAAUACGUCAAUGUGCAGAGUGCCUGGUUACUACAGAGCAGAGAUUUCUGAGCCAGAUUCCAGACAAGAACAAGAUGGGGUUGCAUCCAGUACUCUACAAUUUGCUCACCCUGGAAGUAGAAUGUUGAAUUCUGUAAAGACAGUAGUUAAAAUGCAUGCAUCCGGAUUGCUUCUGAGCUCCUCUGCAGUGGAUGACCACGUAGCAGAACCAAAUGUGUUCCUCUCCAAUGGGGAACAAGGGAUCCCUUCUCCUCCUGUCACCUGUGCAGAUACUGUGCCUUUCAUUUCUUCCAGGCAGCACUGCAUUUUGAAGAGGAGGAGGAAGGACUGUGAAAGCAAUGCAUUAAACUGGCUGAAGGGAUGAAUAAUACUCUAAACCAAAGGGCAGCUUCAAUUACUUUCACUGUUCUAAUCAACGCCCCCGACGUGGGACAUCAAAGCAGGGCAAAUCAAGCACAGAAUUCAGGACGUCCCUGAACUCAAGGCUGCUUGACAGGGACAGCAUGGAAAUGUCCUGAUUAUAUUUCACAAGCCAGCUAAUCUCAGACCUGCCCUCAGAGGAAGACUGGCCCUGAAGGCAGGAAGAUGCAGUAGGACACGCUGUUCUGCAUGACUCCAACGGAGUCAGUGGUAUUCCUGUUUUCAUGUGGCACACUCUCUUUUGAAAUCUCCAGCGGAGAUAUAAAACCCUUAAGAGCAGGACACAGCUUUUUUUUUCGGUGGCAUCUCUUGGGCUGAGCCUGAAUGUGAUCUCAAGAUGCUCUGGGCAGCGAGGAUGAGUGGGAAUACUCUUCCUUGCUGGUGUUGGUCUGACCCUGCCACUGAAUGGGAGAGCUUGGAAAUAAGCUUGUUCCAUUGACAUGGCUCAGAGGGAUUAUCUCCUCCUUGACCUUACAACCCUAUGGCUGAUGAGCUUACCAGGUGCUUUUAUCUAGCCCCAGCUGACACUGCCGAGGGGUUUUGUCAGAUCUGCCGCUGCCGAGCAGAAUACCGUUGGAUGGAUUCUCCAUGCCCAUUCUGUUUUAUAAAUGACCUGGACAAUGAGGCUUUCACACCAGGCAAUGGGGCUUUCAGUCUGAGAGUCAGGGGAGGAGGACUGAACGAACCCACACCCCCAGCCGAUCCAGUGUCCGACGGGAGCGUGGAUCUCAGUAGCUGAAUGGAGAGCUGAACCUUCCAACUUUGGUGUAAAUGCCUGCUAUAACUGUAUGUAAGGGCUCUAAACAAGAGCAGAUGUGACAGCAGUUCAGGUUUAAAUGCAGUGCUCACGAACAGAGUUGUGGCUGUAUUCAUUUGGGCUCUAACGUUUGACAUCAGUGCUCCCAAAGCGAAGGACAGGCUGUCAGAACAGCUGCAAAAUGAGGACUGGUCACAAUAAACCACCUACCAUGCUGCCUUAAGAAGCCUUC
RNAcentral lists this long non-coding RNA (2059 nucleotides) under Anser brachyrhynchus (Pink-footed goose). RNAcentral describes it as "lncRNA (ENSABRG00000019608.1)". Lineage: Eukaryota; Metazoa; Chordata; Aves; Anseriformes; Anatidae. The record is from RNAcentral.